CUCUGAGUCGCCGCUUUGCCCUGGGGCGGGUGCGAAGACUUUAUAAUCCCAAUCUGGGGAGCCGCUGAUUGGCUUCUCCAGAAACCCGACACCCAAUGGGAGUGCGAAGCGGGCCGCGUCAGGAGUCUCCAGGCAGGAGGACCUGACAGGGGUUGUGAGAGGAAGAAGUGAAACCCAAGAGAUGAGGACUCCUGGGUACUGGACUUCACCUCCCCAGGCACCGCCCUGGGUCUGAGAUCCUGAGAGGCAGGUCCAGGGACAUGGGAAUUCUCUGGGAGCCCUCACCUAAGGCACGGCGCGCUCUUUGUCACACUGUCUCCCUGAGUCGUAGCCCAGGACCUGUAAAUGUUUGUCAGUAGUGAGAAGCUGUCAAGUUUAUUGGUGGAUCACAAGUUCUCCAAAAUUCUGAUUUUCUCUUGAGAGCUGACAUUUGAUCAAGGCAACAAGUCCUCUCAGCUGUCAUAUGUGAGCUGAUUGUCAUGAAAGGGCAUUGUGACUGCUCUUGAGAGCAUCUCCCAAGAUAUUCACGUGACCAUAUGGUGGCUUGGAAAGAUGGCGGAAAGAGUGUUUCUAGUUUUCUAUGCAAGUAAGUAGUGGUGAAGAAUAACAGCUAUUGCAGUUUGCACCCAUCA
Molecule: long non-coding RNA, 632 nt
Organism: Ailuropoda melanoleuca (giant panda)
Lineage: Eukaryota; Metazoa; Chordata; Mammalia; Carnivora; Ursidae
Exons: 3
Source: RefSeq, a predicted model, not a curated record